This 386-nucleotide ribosomal RNA is filed under the name uncultured bacterium. RNAcentral's name for it is "bacterial SSU rRNA". It matches the Rfam family "Bacterial small subunit ribosomal RNA", at positions 29 to 417 of the family's 1533-position model. The record is from RNAcentral.
AUUGAACGCUGGCGGCAUGCCUUACACAUGCAAGUCGAACGGCAGCACGGGAGCAAUCCCGGUGGCGAGUGGCGAACGGGUGAGUAAUAUAUCGGAACGUGCCCAGUCGUGGGGAUAACGUAGCGAAAGCUACGCUAAAACCGCAUACGAUCUAUGGAUGAAAGCGGGGGAUCGCAAGACCUCGCGCGAUUGGAGCGGCCGAUAUCAGAUUAGGUAGUUGGUGAGGUAAAGGCUCACCAAGCCGACGAUCUGUAGCUGGUCUGAGAGGACGACCAGCCACACUGGGACUGAGACACGGCCCAGACUCCUACGGGAGGCAGCAGUGGGGAAUUUUGGACAAUGGGCGCAAGCCUGAUCCAGCAAUGCCGCGUGCAGGAUGAAGGCCU